UGACUGUGUGGCUGAACUGACUAUGUGGCAAUCCUUUGGCCUCAGCCUCCCAAGUGCUGGGAUUACAGAAUAGCUGGAAAAGGAGGGCCCUGUGUGGCAGUUCCUGGGCUGAGAAAACCAUGUGUCAAAGUUGUGGCUCAAUCCUUCACUCUAUUUUUACCCUCCUGACACUACCUCUUUGAGUCCUGAGGAGGGGCCCUGGCCUGAGGCGGCCUGAGCCGGCGUCUCUGAGGCACAUGUGGCCAGCCUUGGCCUCCUCCAGAAACCACCCCAAAG
Heterocephalus glaber (naked mole-rat) is the source of this 276-nucleotide long non-coding RNA. Lineage: Eukaryota; Metazoa; Chordata; Mammalia; Rodentia; Bathyergidae. The record is from Ensembl.